This 433-nucleotide ribosomal RNA is filed under the name uncultured bacterium. RNAcentral describes it as "partial 16S ribosomal RNA". It matches the Rfam family "Bacterial small subunit ribosomal RNA", at positions 29 to 507 of the family's 1533-position model. The record is from RNAcentral.
AACGAACGCUGGCGGCAUGCCUAACACAUGCAAGUCGAACGAGACCUUCGGGUCUAGUGGCGCACGGGUGCGUAACGCGUGGGAACCUGCCCUUAGGUUCGGAAUAACUCCCCGAAAGGGGUGCUAAUACCGGAUAAUGUCUUCGGACCAAAGAUUUAUCGCCUUUGGAUGGGCCCGCGUUGGAUUAGCUAGUUGGUAGGGUAAAAGCCUACCAAGGCGACGAUCCAUAGCUGGUCUGAGAGGAUGAUCAGCCACACUGGGACUGAGACACGGCCCAGACUCCUACGGGAGGCAGCAGUGGGGAAUAUUGGACAAUGGGCGAAAGCCUGAUCCAGCAAUGCCGCGUGAGUGAUGAAGGCCUUAGGGUUGUAAAGCUCUUUUACCCGGGUUGAUAAUGACAGUACCGGGAGAAUAAGCUCCGGCUAACUCCGUG